RNAcentral lists this ribosomal RNA (465 nucleotides) under uncultured bacterium. RNAcentral's name for it is "bacterial SSU rRNA". It matches the Rfam family "Bacterial small subunit ribosomal RNA", at positions 338 to 795 of the family's 1533-position model. The record is from RNAcentral.
CCUACGGGUCGCACCAGUGGGGAAUAUUGGACAAUGGGCGCAAGCCUGAUCCAGCCAUACCGCGUGGGUGAAGAAGGCCUUCGGGUUGUAAAGCCCUUUUGUUGGGAAAGAAAUCCAGCUGGCUAAUACCCGGUUGGGAUGACGGUACCCAAAGAAUAAGCACCGGCUAACUUCGUGCCAGCAGCCGCGGUAAUACGAAGGGUGCAAGCGUUACUCGGAAUUACUGGGCGUAAAGCGUGCGUAGGUGGUCGUCUAAGUCCGUUGUGAAAGCCCUGGGCUCAACCUGGGGACUGCAGUGGAUACUGGGCGACUAGAGUGUGGUAGGGGGUAGCGGAAUUCCUGGUGUAGCAGUGAAAUGCGUAGAGAUCAGGAGGAACAUCCAUGGCGAAGGCAGCUACCUGGACCAACACUGACACUGAGGCACGAAAGCGUGGGGAGCAAACAGGAUUAGAUACCCCUGUAGUC